RNAcentral lists this transfer RNA (71 nucleotides) under Marmota monax (woodchuck). Its description in RNAcentral is "tRNA.Ala". It matches the Rfam family "tRNA". Rfam says of the family: Transfer RNA (tRNA) molecules are approximately 80 nucleotides in length. Their secondary structure includes four short double-helical elements and three loops (D, anti-codon, and T loops). Lineage: Eukaryota; Metazoa; Chordata; Mammalia; Rodentia; Sciuridae. The record is from RNAcentral.
GGGGUUGUAGCUCAGUGGUAGAGUGCUUGCCUUGCAAGCAUGAGACCCUGGGUUCGAUCCCCAGCACCACA